UCGGGAAUUUUGGGCAAUGGGCGAAAGCCUGACCCAGCAACGCCGCGUGAAGGAUGAAAUCCCUCGGGAUGUAAACUUCGCAAGAACGGGAAGAAUAAGUAAGAGUUAAUAUCUCUUACGAUGACGGUACUGUUUGUAAGCUCCGGCUAACUCCGUGCCAGCAGCCGCGGUAAUACGGGGGGAGCAAGCGUUGUUCGGAUUUACUGGGCGUAAAGGGCGCGUAGGCGGCCACCGCAAGUCGACUGUGAAAUCUCCGGGCUUAACCCGGAAAGGUCAGCCGAUACUGCGGGGCUAGAGUGCAGAAGGGGCAACUGGAAUUCUCGGUGUAGCGGUGAAAUGCGUAGAUAUCGAGAGGAACACCUGCGGCGAAGGCGGGUUGCUGGGCUGACACUGACGCUGAGGCGCGAAAGCGUAGGGGAGCGAACGGGAUUAGAGUACCCCGGUAGUCCUAGCCUUAAACGAUGAAUGCUUGGUGUCGUGGGGUUUAUAGGUCCCCGGUGCCGUCGCUAACGCUUUAA
RNAcentral lists this ribosomal RNA (518 nucleotides) under uncultured Acidobacteriota bacterium. RNAcentral describes it as "bacterial SSU rRNA". It matches the Rfam family "Bacterial small subunit ribosomal RNA", at positions 355 to 863 of the family's 1533-position model. Lineage: Bacteria; Pseudomonadati; Acidobacteriota. The record is from RNAcentral.